UGAGGAAUAUUGGUCAAUGGUCGGGAGACUGAACCAGCCAAGCCGCGUGAGGGAUGAAGGUGCUAAGCAUUGUAAACCUCUUUUGUCAGGGAACAAAGGCAUCCACGAGUGGAUGUGUGAGUGUACCUGAAGAAAAAGCAUCGGCUAACUCCGUGCCAGCAGCCGCGGUAAUACGGAGGAUGCGAGCGUUAUCCGGAUUUAUUGGGUUUAAAGGGUGCGUAGGCGGCCUGUUAAGUCAGCGGUAAAAGCCCGGGGCUCAACCCCGCGAGCGCUGUAACAGCUGGCUGGAGUUGGGCGAUGAGGUGAUGCGGAAUGCGCGGUGUAGCGGUGAAAUGCUUUAGAUAUCGCGCAGAACUCCGAUUGCGAAGGCAGCAUGCCGGCGCCACACUGACGCUGAGGCACGAAAGCGUGGGGAUCAAAACA
RNAcentral lists this ribosomal RNA (423 nucleotides) under uncultured Bacteroidales bacterium. RNAcentral describes it as "bacterial SSU rRNA". It matches the Rfam family "Bacterial small subunit ribosomal RNA", at positions 355 to 775 of the family's 1533-position model. Lineage: Bacteria; Pseudomonadati; Bacteroidota; Bacteroidia; Bacteroidales. The record is from RNAcentral.